GCAGUAGCCGCGGUAAUACGGAGGGGGCUAGCGUUGUUCGGAAUUACUGGGCGUAAAGCGCACGUAGGCGGCUUGGUAAGUUAGAGGUGAAAGCCCGGAGCUCAACUCCGGAAUUGCCUUUAAGACUGCCGAGCUAGCAGGUGAGAGAGGUAAGUGGAAUUCCGAGUGUAGAGGUGAAAUUCGUAGAUAUUCGGAAGAACACCAGUGGCGAAGGCGGCUUACUGGCUCAUACUGGACGCUGAGGUGCGAAAGCGUGGGGAGCAAACAGGAUUAGAUACCCCUGUAGUCCCUGUCUCUUAUAA
Molecule: ribosomal RNA, 302 nt
Filed under: uncultured bacterium
Lineage: Bacteria
Description: partial 16S ribosomal RNA
Rfam family: Bacterial small subunit ribosomal RNA
Source: RNAcentral